UCUCCGUAGGUGAACCUGCGGAGGGAUCAUUACAGAGUUCAUGCCCUCCGGGUAGAUCUCCCACCCUAUGUUAUUAUUACUUUGUUGCUUUGGCGGGCCGUUAGGCUCCGGCCCGACCACCGGCCCCGGCUGGUAAGCGCCCGCCAGAGGACCCAAAACCCUGAAUAUUAGUGUCGUCUGAGUACUAUAUAAUAGUUAAAACUUUCAACAACGGAUCUCUUGGUUCUG
This 228-nucleotide unclassified non-coding RNA is filed under the name plant metagenome. Its description in RNAcentral is "partial contains small subunit ribosomal RNA, internal transcribed spacer 1, and 5.8S ribosomal RNA". The record is from RNAcentral.